UACGUAGGGUGCGAGCGUUGUCCGGAAUUAUUGGGCGUAAAGAGCUCGUAGGCGGUCUGUCGCGUCGGCUGUGAAAACCCGUGGCUCAACCCCGGGCCUGCAGUCGAUACGGGCAGACUAGAGUGCGGUAGGGGAGACUGGAAUUCCUGGUGUAGCGGUGAAAUGCGCAGAUAUCAGGAGGAACACCGGUGGCGAAGGCGGGUCUCUGGGCCGAUACUGACGCUGAGGAGCGAAAGCGUGGGGAGCGAACAGG
This 253-nucleotide ribosomal RNA is filed under the name uncultured bacterium. RNAcentral's name for it is "partial 16S ribosomal RNA". It matches the Rfam family "Bacterial small subunit ribosomal RNA", at positions 524 to 776 of the family's 1533-position model. The record is from RNAcentral.